RNAcentral lists this signal recognition particle RNA (148 nucleotides) under Chlorocebus sabaeus (green monkey). RNAcentral describes it as "Metazoan signal recognition particle RNA". It matches the Rfam family "Metazoan signal recognition particle RNA". Rfam says of the family: The signal recognition particle (SRP) is a universally conserved ribonucleoprotein. It is involved in the co-translational targeting of proteins to membranes. The eukaryotic SRP consists of a 300-nucleotide 7S RNA and six proteins: SRPs 72, 68, 54, 19, 14, and 9. Lineage: Eukaryota; Metazoa; Chordata; Mammalia; Primates; Cercopithecidae. The record is from Rfam by way of RNAcentral.
GCUGGGUGUGGUGGUGCACACCUGUAGUCCCAGCUACUCAGGAGGCUGAGGCAGGAGAAUUGCUUGAACCCAGGACGUGGAGGUUGCAGUGAGCCGAGAUUGCACCACUGCACUCCAGCCUGGGUGACAGAGCGAGACUCUGUCUCAA